Molecule: ribosomal RNA, 301 nt
Filed under: uncultured bacterium
Lineage: Bacteria
Description: partial 16S ribosomal RNA
Rfam family: Bacterial small subunit ribosomal RNA
Source: RNAcentral
CAGUCGCCGCGGGAAUACGUAGGUGGCAAGCGUUGUCCGGAAUUAUUGGGCGUAAAGGGCUCGCAGGCGGUUUCUUAAGUCUGACGUGAAAGCCCCCGGCUCAACCGGGGAGGGUCAUUGGAAACUGGGAAACUUGAGUGCAGAAGAGGAGAGUGGAAUUCCACGUGUAGCGGUGAGAUGCGUAGAGAUGUGGAGGAACACCAGUGGCGAAGGCGACUCUCUGGUCUGUAACUGACGCUGAGGAGCGAAAGCGUGGGGAGCGAACAGGAUUAGAUACCCCGGUAGUCCCUGUCUCUUAUAC